GUCGGGUUCGGGAUGAACUGGUUGAUCACACCCCCCAUGACCGCGAAGGUGCGCUUGCCCUGGGUGAGCAUCUGCACGCCGCGACGCUUGAACUCCUU
RNAcentral lists this small RNA (98 nucleotides) under Mycobacterium talmoniae. Its description in RNAcentral is "Mycobacterium sRNA Ms_AS-1". It matches the Rfam family "Mycobacterium sRNA Ms_AS-1". The record is from Rfam by way of RNAcentral. Lineage: Bacteria; Bacillati; Actinomycetota; Actinomycetes; Mycobacteriales; Mycobacteriaceae.